GACGAACGCUGGCGGCGUGCUUAACACAUGCAAGUCGAACGGAAAGGCCCUGCUUUUGUGGGGUGCUCGAGUGGCGAACGGGUGAGUAACACGUGAGUAACCUGCCCUUGACUUUGGGAUAACUUCAGGAAACUGGGGCUAAUACCGGAUAGGAGCUCCUGCUGCAUGGUGGGGGUUGGAAAGUUUCGGCGGUUGGGGAUGGACUCGCGGCUUAUCAGCUUGUUGGUGGGGUAGUGGCUUACCAAGGCUUUGACGGGUAGCCGGCCUGAGAGGGUGACCGGCCACAUUGGGACUGAGAUACGGAGCAGAGUCCUACGGGAGGCAGCAGGGGGGAAUAUUGCACAAUGAGCGGAAGCCUGAUGAAGCAACGCCGCGUGCGGGAUGACGGCCUGCGGGUUGUAAACCGCUUUCGCCUGUGACGAAGCGUGAGUGACGGUAAUGGGUAAAGAAGCACCGGCUAACUACGUG
RNAcentral lists this ribosomal RNA (468 nucleotides) under uncultured bacterium. RNAcentral's name for it is "partial 16S ribosomal RNA". It matches the Rfam family "Bacterial small subunit ribosomal RNA", at positions 28 to 507 of the family's 1533-position model. The record is from RNAcentral.